Molecule: long non-coding RNA, 397 nt
Filed under: Monodelphis domestica (gray short-tailed opossum)
Lineage: Eukaryota; Metazoa; Chordata; Mammalia; Didelphimorphia; Didelphidae
Description: lncRNA (ENSMODG00000041757.1)
Source: RNAcentral
CUGGGAGCCACAAGUGAGAGCUGGGUGUCAGGUAGGGGUCAGAGGCUGGAGAGCUGCCCUAGGAGGGCACGACAAGCCCUCCAUACCAAGGUGCUACCCCUCCCUGAGCACCCAAAGAAAUUAAAGCACAGGGGAAGAAAAAGAAAAGGAAAGGAAAGAACAUCAACAAGCAGGAAAGGAACCAGAGGAGAGCAUCUAGGAGAAGACAUCCAGAUAAUGAAACUCCUUCUACCAAUGACAGCCACCUAAAGAACUGAGAAGUGUCACUUACCCAGAGGAAUCUCACAGAAGCAGAACUUCACUCCAGAUAACUUAUCACCUACUAUACCACACAGACACUUUUGGAUUUUAAUAGAUUUUUGCUAUAAUAAUAAAGACAAUAUUGGCAUAAGGGAUA